GAGUUUGAUCAUGGCUCAGGAUGAACGCUAGCGACAGGCUUAACACAUGCAAGUCGAGGGGCAGCGGUGGUGAAGGCUUGCCUUUACCAGCCGGCGACCGGCGCACGGGUGAGUAACACGUAUGCAACCUGCCUGCCACAGCCGGAUAAUCGGGAGAAAUUCCGUCUAAUACGGCAUAAUGCAUCGACGGGACAUCCUGUUGGUGCCAAAGGUUGAUUCCGGUGGCGGAUGGGCAUGCGUCGCAUUAGUUAGUUGGCGGUGUAACGGACCACCAAGACGACGAUGCGUAGGGGUUCUGAGAGGAAGGUCCCCCACACUGGUACUGAGACACGGACCAGACUCCUACGGGAGGCAGCAGUGAGGAAUAUUGGUCAAUGGGCGGGAGCCUGAACCAGCCAAGUCGCGUGAGGGAUGACGGCCCUAUGGGUUGUAAACCUCUUUUGCCGGGGAGCAAAGUGCCGCACGUGUGCGGUUUGGAGAGUACCCGGAGAAAAAGCAUCGGCUAACUCCGUGCCAGCAGCCGCGGUAAUACGGAGGAUGCGAGCGUUAUCCGGAUUUAUUGGGUUUAAAGGGUGCGUAGGCGGACGCUUAAGUCAGCGGUAAAAUUGCGGGGCUCAACCUCGUCGAGCCGUUGAAACUGGGUGCCUUGAGUGGGCGAGAAGUACGCGGAAUGCGUGGUGUAGCGGUGAAAUGCAUAGAUAUCACGCAGAACUCCGAUUGCGAAGGCAGCGUACCGGCGCCCAACUGACGCUGAAGCACGAAGGCGUGGGUAUCGAACAGGAUUAGAUACCCUGGUAGUCCACGCAGUAAACGAUGAAUGCUAGUUGUCCGGGGCGAUUGAGUUCUGGGUGACACAGCGAAAGCGUUAAGCAUUCCACCUGGGGAGUACGCCGGCAACGGUGAAACUCAAAGG
This 913-nucleotide ribosomal RNA is filed under the name uncultured bacterium. RNAcentral describes it as "bacterial SSU rRNA". It matches the Rfam family "Bacterial small subunit ribosomal RNA", at positions 9 to 907 of the family's 1533-position model. The record is from RNAcentral.